RNAcentral lists this long non-coding RNA (2282 nucleotides) under Fragaria vesca (wild strawberry). RNAcentral's name for it is "long non-coding RNA (FVES_LNC003035)". The record is from RNAcentral. Lineage: Eukaryota; Viridiplantae; Streptophyta; Magnoliopsida; Rosales; Rosaceae.
UUUCCGUCCUUCUGUUAUGUGUCUUACCCUAAUACAUGUAGGAUUGUGAUCUUUAUAUUCUCUCCUACAAGUUACAACAAUAUCUAUAAUAGUGUGUUAUUGUUAUAGUCUCUGACAGAAGAGAUCUGAUUGCAAAGAUCUCAAAUCUCAAGUCAAUUUGAUUUUCUAUUAGGCUAUUCCUGGGAAAACGUUGGACUACGCCGUAGUCCCGUACGCCACAAGUGGGCUGAACCACGUGUCGACUAUUCAUCGGCAGAGGGGAAAUCCACAGGGCAUAGAUGGGAUUUCUCAGAUGUCGAUCCUUCCCCUCGUCAUCGUCGCCGUCUGGUUUAGAGAGGGGCUUUUAUGGAAUCGCCGGUGAGGUGAGAAGCGGGGGGUAGGGUAAAUAUGACGCUGGCGGGAGAUAUGCCACGUCUCCGCCACCUACAGGGCGAAUUACCGGCAAGCACAGAGCACCCACGUCUUUGCCGUCGAGAGGGUGAAUUAGCGGCAAAGCGUCUUGCACAAUUAGGCGGAGAUGAUCAAAACGUUUCAAAUCGAUUUCACUGAAGAACGGGUUUGAAGGUGGAGUACAUUGUGUGGAUUUGAAAGGGUUUGUGCACAUUUUCCGAUCGAUUUCACUGAAGAACAGGCUAGGUUUGAAGGUGGAGUACAUCGUGUGGAUUUGAACGGGUUUGUGCACGUUUUCGGAUACGAAUGCGGCAUUUUUGCUCAGGGGUUGAAAUCGAUGAAUUUAUGAAUGGGUUGAGGCUAGAAACCGCAUGCAAACCAGAUUCUGUGCAUUCCCUACUGAGGUAAGAGUUUAAAUUCAUGACUUGCAGCAUUGUGUCUCCUGCUUUCCUUUCAUGUUUUUGAGAUUUGCUUAACAGCCGUAUUCGAAUUCAUUAGUGAGGAACACAUGUUUGCUGAGCCUGUUUUGAUUUCAUAUCGUUCGUAUCUGUCUGGUUUAAUUGAACAUCGGUGCACCUGUCAGUUACGUUAAUGUUUAGUUCAGAGAGAAUCGAACCCAAAGUAUUUGAUAUCAGCUGUGAUGUUCACUCCUUGAUCUAGACUCGUAGAUGUAAAUCCAUUAACAUCUUUGAAAUAACAAGCUGCCUAUCCAGAUGUUAAUCCCACAAAGUUUGCUGAGAUAACAAGAUCUCAGUUCAUCCAUUUCCAUUGGUAGCUACAUUGCAAUAGUUCUAGUUUUAAUCAUGGGCAACAAUCAGAAAAGAUUUAGGUAUGUGUUUGUGUAACUAUAGUUGGGUUUGUGUUUGUCAAACAUUUUCAUAGGGAUGUGGCUGUUUAAAAGUACAUUCCAUCUGCACCAUGUACUUACGAUUGGAAUUGCAUCUUCAAGUAUGGGUAGCUAACAAAAAAAAGCAAUACAGAGAACCAUAUAGUUUAUAUCUUUAUAAUUAGAAUCAUACUCGAAUCGGCAUGAUUGUCUGGUAUAGGGCUUCUAUCAAAAACAGUGCACACUAGUUAUAGGCCAUGUUGUUCAUCCUACGAAAUUCAAGUAGUUUUAAGCCCUUUAUUCAUCCAUCAAAAUUUUGGUAAUUUGAUUCUUAUUGCAGUGUCUGAAUAUAUAUUCAAAACUAGCUCUUAACUUCAUAAGUAUCACUGCUAUUUUUCGUUUUUCCAACUAAUAGAAAAGGUCGAAGUGAAAGUUGACUCUGCUAACAGAGUUGUGCGGUGUCAUUUAGUUUAGCAUAGGCAUAUGUGGUUUAAGUAAACUGCAAUUGGAAUAUGAAGAGCUGUGUAACGUGUGAUGUGCACUGGAAUCUAUUUAGUACUGGUAGGCUAGUGAAUGUGUAAAAUUAAUUCGUCGUUACAUGAAUGAUAAUCCCUCCCUCCCUCCCUCAGUGUUGCAAUGUGUCCUAUGCCAUAAUAGAAUUGCAUAUUACAAGAAUGGUAAUAUGCAUUCUGCUUCUUUCUGUCUUCUGGUUUGACAUAUGCGUAUUCUGCCUUGAUCCUUCAAUUAUCAACUGCGCAUAUAUAUAAUUGUCCCGCAAGAUGGAAUCGAAAGCAGUCAUAUAUGCAUCCAAGGAUUCAAUUGCAGUAAUGUCAUUUUUAAUCUAUCGUCAGGUUAUGUCUUAAGGCGAAGGCAUCUUGGCUUGAAGGUUAGUAUUAUCUCUAGAUUUUUUAACCUUGUUGGAGUGUGUUAAUUCUGUUAUGAAGGGGUUGAAUUAUAUAUGUUCAAAUUACCUUUUCAACUUAAGAUUUAGGAGGAUGUUUGCAUUAGUCUUUGAUUGUUGUGUUGGUCGAGUUUUGUUUAUGCCCCAUUCUCUCUCUCUCUCUCN